Molecule: ribosomal RNA, 123 nt
Filed under: Aeromonas hydrophila
Lineage: Bacteria; Pseudomonadati; Pseudomonadota; Gammaproteobacteria; Aeromonadales; Aeromonadaceae
Also listed under: 3 other names
Description: partial 16S ribosomal RNA
Rfam family: Bacterial small subunit ribosomal RNA
Source: RNAcentral
AAAUUGAAGAGUUUGAUCAUGGCUCAGAUUGAACGCUGGCGGCAGGCCUAACACAUGCAAGUCGAGCGGCAGCGGGAAAGUAGCUUGCUACUUUUGCCGGCGAGCGGCGGACGGGUGAGUAAU